UUUAUAUUUAUUUUUUAAGAUUUUUAAAUAAAGAAUUUUUUUGUUUUAUUAAUUACUGUUGAAAUAAUUAUUUUAAUUAUAGUUUAUUAGUACUGUAAAGGAAAUUUUUUAAUUAUUGAAAAGAAUAAUUUAAUUUUUGUACCUUUUGUAUCAGGGUUUAUUAAAAUAAUAUUAAUUAUUUAAUUUUCUCGAUUUUAAAGGAGCUAAUAAUUUAUAUAUUUUAUUGUUGAAUUAAUAUUUAUAAUUUAUUAUUUGAAAUGAAACGUUAUUCGUCUUUAAAUAUUUCUAGUUUCUAAAGAAAUGAAUUUAAUUCAUUUUCUUAAAGUAAAUUACUAAUUUAAGUUAUUUUGUUUUAAGAAUAAAAAAUUUAAAGGGAUAAGCUUUUAAAUUUUUCUAUAAUAUUAUAUUUUUAUUUUAGGUUGUAGGAUUGGAAUUUUUUAUCAAUAAAAGGAUGUUUUAAUUUACUUAAGUAUUUUAAUAUUUAUAUUAUAUUUAGAUUAUUUAUUUAGAAUUUAUUUUUAAUUUUUUAAAAUAAGUAAUAAUGAUAAAAUUAGUAAUUUUUUUUUGUUCAAUAAAUUUAAAUAUUUUAGAUUUUAUUAAGGAAUUCGACAAUUAAUUUUUUCGCCUGUUUAAUAAAAACAUGUCUUUUUGAUAAUGAUUUAAAGUCUGGUCUGCCCACUGUGAAUAUGAAGGGCCGCGGUAUUUUAACUGUGCAAAGGUAGCAUAAUAAUUAGUUUUUUUAUUGAAAACUGGAAUGAAUGGCUAGACGAGAGAAAUAGUGUCUCAAUAAAAAUUAAUGAAUUUUAUUUUUAAGUGAAAAAGCUUAAAUAAUUUUAAAAGACGAGAAGACCCUAUAGAGUUUAACAUUAAAUUUAUAAUAAAUAAUUAGUAUUUUUUGUUAUUAUAAAUAUUUUUGUUUAGCUGGGGUGGCUUUAAAAUUGAUUUAACUUUUAUUUUAAUAAACACUUAUUUGUGAUUAUUUGAUCCAUAUUUUUGAUUAUAAGAUUUAAUUACCUUAGGGAUAACAGCGUAAUCUUUCUUUAGAGUUCAAAUCAAUAGAAGGGAUUGCGACCUCGAUGUUGGAUUAAAAUUUAUUUUUGGUGCAGAAGCUAAAAUAUUAAGUCUGUUCGACUUUUGAAAUUUUACAUGAUCUGAGUUUAAACCGGUGUGAGCCAGGUUGGUUUCUAUCUUUAAAUAUAUUAAGUACUUUAGUACGAAAGGACCAAGUAUUUAACUAAUAGUUUAAUUUUGAUUACUAUU
This 1260-nucleotide ribosomal RNA is filed under the name Dermestes dimidiatus. Its description in RNAcentral is "16S ribosomal RNA". The stretch from base 1021 to 1179 matches the Rfam family "Archaeal large subunit ribosomal RNA", at positions 2542 to 2701 of the family's 2987-position model. Lineage: Eukaryota; Metazoa; Arthropoda; Insecta; Coleoptera; Dermestidae. The record is from RNAcentral.